CAGCAGCCGCGGGAAUACGGAGGGUGCAAGCGUUAAUCGGAAUUACUGGGCGUAAAGCGCACGCAGGCGGUCUGUCAAGUCGGAUGUGAAAUCCCCGGGCUCAACCUGGGAAUUGCAUUCGAUACUGGGAAGCUAGAGUAUGGGAGAGGAUGGUAGAAUUCCAGGUGUAGCGGUGAAAUGCGUAGAGAUCUGGAGGAAUACCGAUGGCGAAGGCAGCCAUCUGGCCUAAUACUGACGCUGAGGUACGAAAGCAUGGGGAGCAAACAGGAUUAGAUACCCCGGUAGUCCCUGUCUCUUAUAA
Molecule: ribosomal RNA, 301 nt
Filed under: uncultured bacterium
Lineage: Bacteria
Description: partial 16S ribosomal RNA
Rfam family: Bacterial small subunit ribosomal RNA
Source: RNAcentral